AAGAAAGUAAAUAACACAAGAUGUAUCGCGGUUCACCCUAAUGUUUGGGCUACGUCCACACUGAUAUUGUAUUUAUCUGUUUGUGAGAGGAUUGAGAGGGAGAGAGAGCUUCCUUAUGUGAGGAUGAGCUUCUCUGAAUAUGAGAGGGGAUGUGAGGCUUUGAGAGGGUGAGGGUCAGGCCUAAGGAUUGGCCUCUCUCAAUGAGGAGAGUGAGGAGUCCUUUUAUAAAAUAAGGGCUCCUCAUUUAUUACAUAUUUGCCUAUUCUUUUAUUACAUAAUUACAUUUGAGUCCCCCGAGUAUUUAUACGAGAUCUAAUACGGAGGCCCUAAGUAUGGUACAAACAGUAGUUCCCCAAGCCUUCAGUCAAGAGAGUCUUUUGGCUGGAGACUUGAAAUUCAGUCCAUGUGUGGGCCGAAGUAACUAGAUGUCGUCUAGAACUGAUGCUCGAUAUGAGGCGAUGCCCAAUCUGAAAUGAUGCUCAACUAGAAGUAGCACAUGUUGUGAGGCUGCUCUGCUUGUGUUGCCUUGGUCGGCUCGGCUUGUGGCAUUGAAGGUGAGGGAGUCCCUUUUAUAGAAUAAGGGCUCGCUCCUCAUUACAUAAGUGAUGGGCUAAGAGUUGAUGCUCGCGGCGAGGCGGUUGCUCAGCAGGCGGAGAUACUCUUUACUGAUGGUAAGGGAGUCUCUUUUAUAAACUAAAGACUCGCUCCUCAAUACAUAAGUGAUGGGUUAGGAGUGAUGCUCGCGGCGAUGCUCUCUAAUGAAGGUGAGGCAAUCCUUUUUAUAAAAUAAGGGCUCGCUCCUCAGUACAUAAAUAAUGGGUGCUCUCUAAUGAAGGUGAGAGAGUCUCUUUUAUAAAAUAAGGGCUCGCUCCUUAGUACAUAAAUAAUGGGCUAAAUCCCCCAAGUAUUUUUCAUGAGGCCCAAUAUAUGGUACAUAAUGUAGUCCCCCAAGUCUUCGGUCAAUAGAGUCUGUUAGCUGGAGACUUCAAAUUCAAUCCAUGUAAGGGCCGAAGUGGCGGUUGUUUGGAGGUGGUAUUUGUAUACCUUGCACUGAAGCUUUGCAAGUAAAGCUUUUGAAGCUGGAGCUCUGUAAAUGAAGCUUUUGAAGCUAGAGCUCUGUAAAUGAAGCUUUUGAAGCUAGAGCUUUUGUAAAUGAAGCUUUUGAAGCUGAUUGACAUGAGUGAUGCUCAUGAAUGUUUAUGUUGAUUGAUAUGAGUGAUGCUCAUGGAUGUUGACAUGAGUGAUGCUCAUGGAUGUUGACAUGAGUGAUGCUCAUGAAUGUUGACAUGAGUGAUGCUCAUGAAUGUUUAUGUAUGAUUGAUAUGAGUAAUGCUCAUGAAUGUUUAUGUAUGAUUGACAUGAGUAAUGCUCAUGUAUAAUUUGAAGUACUGGGCGUACUUUUGAUCACCUGGUUGGUGAUAAUAACGGCAGGUUGUCCAAUAAUUUUGGAGUACUGGGCGUACUUUUGAUUACCUGGUUGGUGAUAAUAGAGGGCCUGAAUUUUUUAGGCAUACGGGCCUUCACCCUCCACAUGACAUUGCAGCCCAUUAUUUUGGGCUUGCCGUUUUUUUUUUUAUUAUUUUUUUUAUUUUUAUUACCCUCUGAUGGGGUUUAUACAGAUGUCUCCGAAAGAUAAGAAAAAUAAAUUACAUCAUUCAAAAAUAAAAAGCUGCUGUAGAAUGUGGGUAUAGCAGAUGGUUGGGUAGUGGGAUAACAUGUGCUUGCGGGGGGCAGGGCCUGCUUAAUGGGUCACGCUCAUAAUUAUGUCAUCACCUCGUCUGCUUUUUCUUUUUCUUUUCUUUUUUUUUUAAUUUUUUAUUUUUUUUUUAGCUUUCUGCCAUUGUCUUAGUGGGUAGCCAUGCUUUUCCACUUUUGCUUUUGUUUUUUUGCUUUGCUUUUGCUUUUGCUUUCUCUUUUCUUUUGCUUUCGGCCUGGUUGGUGUUGGGACCUUGUAGUGGGAUGACAAACAGCUUGGCAUCAUUAUGUAUGAAUUCCUUUAUCAUCGUGGUGCCGGACCACUUUCCAGCUGUUUAAAGGAACCUGCUUUACCUUCACUGCUUUUUAACCAUCAUUCCUCCAUCUAUACCCAUUUGAAGCAAUCAUCACUCCCCUGGAGCCGAUACUCGACCGAACGAGUCAUUCUGAGAGGCAGCAGAAUGUUGACGUCUACAACGUGUGGACCGAAGCCUAAAUGCGACGUCGUUUGGCCCACCACCAGAAGAAGAAACAAACCGAGCAAAAUAGUGAAGCUCACCAGAGAGAUCGCCGAAGUCGGAGCUUGAGCAACGGAGCUUGUAUUUGAGGUGAGUGAUCAUGGAUCGUAGAAAAAUGGAGAAUCGAAGGGUUAGCGAAGUGGACUAUCCUCCUUCCCAAUUUGCUUCCCAUGGUGAAUGAUUUUCUCGGCUUUUCUGGCGAAUUUUCAAAAUUAAUUUGUAACUAAAUGAGAAAUUUAACCAGCAGAAAACCUGAGGAAGGUUGCCUUUCCAGUACCCAGAAAACCUGUAUAAGAAUCUUGAUGCGGUCAAGCGGAGCCGUGACGCUCUCAGCGGUGGCUCCAGCAACGGCUCCGACAGCAAAUAGCGCACCGUUUUUUGGCACGCAUGCGAGAGUAGCCAAAUGAUGCUUCAACAGCUGAGCCGAGGUCGGCAAAAACUCGUUCCUUUGUUCUCCCUUUUCGCCAUUGAAACGCAGGCGAAAUUGUACCGAAUUCCACGGUCACUGCUGAAGCUGAGCUACGCAGUCGUCCACAGCGGUUCGUGGUGGUCCGCGGCGUUGGUAAGGGCGCAGCGGGAGGCGUUGAGGCUUGGGAUGCUCCACCAUGAUACAAUGGCUCUGGGAUUUCCGGCUAUGGCUGGGGAAUUUUGAAGAAGGGAGGUGGAAAAGUGAAGGGAUAAGGCGAGGGAGGCAGUUGCAGAGAGAGUUCUCCUGAAUAAUCACCAUCUCCGAUCUUUGAUGCCAGUGAACAUUUUUUGAGAUGAUGAAGUCGUGGGAUUGUGAGAUUAUCCCAAAUUUCUCUCGAAUUUGAAUUUAUGCCAUCGAAGUCAUCACACCACUACUGAUUUUGACAAGGCCCAUGUCGGCGGGGUCUUAAUAAUCACAACUGCAGGCCUAAUGGCUACCAAAGCCACGACCUUCGAGCCCAGUCUUCGGUGUAGCCCACACUAGGCUCUUGCGGCCUUCCCGCCUCGAUGACGUUGUCCUCUACCCGUGAAAAAUUGGGUUUUCAUGAAAUGCGGAUUUGGGUCAGGCCCUCUGCGAGUUCGGCUGGAAACGCUCCGAUGUCGUCCUCUCCUCCUUCAUAAGUCACAUGGACGUGUGCUCAGUUUUAGCUGGACUGUUAAGGAAGAUAAACUGGUUGGCGGCUUUGUGGCGUCUCCUGUGCAUCUGCAUAUUCUGGUCUCUCUGAAAUCCCUGGUUGCAGGUAGAGUAGGAUCUCAGGUUGUGCAGAUUCACGGUGGAGUGUGGUGAGGUCUUCAUGGUGGUGAGAUGAAAAAAUGAAAGAGAACCGACAUAGUUUUUUGUGUCGAUUCCCACAGAUAGCUCCAAAUGUUGAUGCAUAAAACCGGAGGUCUUGGAACAACGUAAAUCCGACCGUGAAUCUGCAAGAAAGUAAAUAACACAAGAUGUAUCGUGGUUCACCCCAAUGUUUGGGCUACGUCCACACUGAUAUUGUAUUUCUCUGUUUGUGAGAGGAUUGAGAGGGGGAUAGAGCUUCCUUAUGUGAGGAUUAGCUUCUCUGAAUAUGAGAGGGGAUGUGAGGCUUUGAGAGGGUGAAGGUCAGGCCUAAGGAUUGGCCUCUCUCAAUGAGGAGAGUGAGGAGUCCUUUUAUAAAAUAAGGGCUCCUCACUUAUUACAUAUUUGCCGCUUCCUUUAUUACAUAAUUACAUUUGAGUCUCCCAAGUAUUUAUGCGAGAUCUAAAUACAGAGGCCCUAAGUAUGGUACAAACAACUCUGAUACUAUAUUAAAUGCUCAUUAUAUUCCAGAAGUUAAGUUGUUAGAAAAUGUAUCACUAAUACAUAUCAAAUUAUCAUAAACAAUUUUUU
Molecule: long non-coding RNA, 4044 nt
Filed under: Malus domestica (apple)
Lineage: Eukaryota; Viridiplantae; Streptophyta; Magnoliopsida; Rosales; Rosaceae
Description: long non-coding RNA (MDOM_LNC010200)
Source: RNAcentral